UAACCUGUCCAGUGAUGGACAGCUGAACCGUCAGAAGUCAGCAGAAGCCAUAGUACCAUUCGAUCUCGAGAACGAAUGGGAAGGGC
Sporosarcina newyorkensis 2681 is the source of this 86-nucleotide non-coding RNA. The record is from Rfam. NCBI's taxonomy places the organism in Bacteria, Bacillati, Bacillota, Bacilli, Caryophanales, Caryophanaceae.